This 604-nucleotide ribosomal RNA is filed under the name uncultured fungus. RNAcentral describes it as "eukaryotic LSU rRNA". The stretch from base 233 to 386 matches the Rfam family "5.8S ribosomal RNA". Lineage: Eukaryota; Fungi. The record is from RNAcentral.
UUGUAAGUAAAAUGUCGUAACAAGGUCUCCGUUGGUGAACCAGCGGAGGGAUCAUUACAGAGUUGCAAAACUCCCUAAACCAUUGUGAACGUUACCUAUACCGUUGCUUCGGCGGGCGGCCCCGGGGUUUACCCCCCGGGCGCCCCUGGGCCCCACCGCGGGCGCCCGCCGGAGGUCACCAAACUCUUGAUAAUUUAUGGCCUCUCUGAGUCUUCUGUACUGAAUAAGUCAAAACUUUCAACAACGGAUCUCUUGGUUCUGGCAUCGAUGAAGAACGCAGCGAAAUGCGAUAAGUAAUGUGAAUUGCAGAAUUCAGUGAAUCAUCGAAUCUUUGAACGCACAUUGCGCCCGCCAGCAUUCUGGCGGGCAUGCCUGUUCGAGCGUCAUUUCAACCAUCAAGCCCCCGGGCUUGUGUUGGGGACCUGCGGCUGCCGCAGGCCCUGAAAAGCAGUGGCGGGCUCGCUGUCGCACCGAGCGUAGUAGCAUACAUCUCGCUCUGGUCGCGCCGCGGGUUCCGGCCGUUAAACCACCUUUUAACCCAAGGUUGACCUCGGAUCAGGUAGGAAGACCCGCUGAACUUAAGCAUAUCAAUAACCCGGAGGAA